RNAcentral lists this ribosomal RNA (492 nucleotides) under uncultured bacterium. RNAcentral describes it as "partial 16S ribosomal RNA". It matches the Rfam family "Bacterial small subunit ribosomal RNA", at positions 29 to 507 of the family's 1533-position model. The record is from RNAcentral.
AUUGAACGCUGGCGGCAUGCUUUACACAUGCAAGUCGAACGGUAACAGGCCUUCGGGUGCUGCCGAGUGGCGAACGGGUGUGUAAUGCAUCGGCACGUACCCAGCGGUGGGGGAUAACGCAGCGAAAGCUGUGCUAAUACCGCAUGUGAUCUGAGGAUGAAAGCGGGGGACCGAGCAGCAAUGUUUGGCCUCGCGCCUUUGGAGCGGCCGAUGUCGGAUUAGCUAGUUGGUGGGGUCAAGGCCUCCGAAGGCUACGAUCCGUAGCUGGUCUGAGAGCACGGACAGCCAGACGGGGACUGAGACACGGCCCAGACACCUACAGGGGGCAGCAGUGGGGAAUCUUGGACGAGGCAGGAAAGGCUGAUCCAGCAAAGCCGCGGGAGGGAAGAAGGCCUGCGGGUGGGAGACCGCUGUUGGCAGGAGCUAAGCGAUGUCCGCUAAUACCGGGCGCUAAUGACGGUACCUGCAGAAUAAGCACCGGCUAACUACGUG